GUAAGGAAAAGGCGGGGAGGUGAUUGGGUAAUGAGUCAGAUCUAAGACCUUAUAAGAUAAACACAACAGAAAGUGGGUGAUGAAUGGUGAAAAAGACCCAGUGCAGGCAAGCUUCUGUAAAGAGGUCACUCCAACCCCAAAUAUAUACAAAACAAGAUAAAAGGAAACAGAGCGCCACAAUCACUAUAUAGGUGAUAUAAUAGGGUUAAAAGAAAAUGAAUAAAUUGACAAAGAAAAAAA
This is a non-coding RNA of Pelobates cultripes (western spadefoot toad), 240 nucleotides long. Lineage: Eukaryota; Metazoa; Chordata; Amphibia; Anura; Pelobatidae. The record is from the annotation of a GenBank genome assembly.